GUCUGAGAAACAAACAAAAACAGCCAAAACUUUCAACAACGGAUCUCUUGGCUCUGGCAUCGAUGAAGAACGCAGCGAAAUGCGAUACGUAAUGCGAAUUGCAGAAUUCAGCGAGUCAUCGAAUCUUUGAACGCACAUUGCGCCCGCCAGCAUUCUGGCGGGCAUGCCUGUCCGAGCGUCAUUUCCCCCCUCAGCA
Molecule: ribosomal RNA, 196 nt
Filed under: Ophiostoma piceae
Lineage: Eukaryota; Fungi; Ascomycota; Sordariomycetes; Ophiostomatales; Ophiostomataceae
Also listed under: 2 other names
Description: 5.8S ribosomal RNA
Rfam family: 5.8S ribosomal RNA (bases 28-181)
About the family: 5.8S ribosomal RNA (5.8S rRNA) is a component of the large subunit of the eukaryotic ribosome. It is transcribed by RNA polymerase I as part of the 45S precursor that also contains 18S and 28S rRNA.
Source: RNAcentral